GAAACGCGAACCAAGCGGCGGCGUAAGCCGUGUGAGGCUUGGAGCUGGCCUCGGCAAUGAGGCCAUGCA
Molecule: non-coding RNA, 69 nt
Filed under: Bifidobacterium longum subsp. infantis
Lineage: Bacteria; Bacillati; Actinomycetota; Actinomycetes; Bifidobacteriales; Bifidobacteriaceae
Also listed under: 2 other names
Description: Transposase-2 RNA
Rfam family: Transposase-2 RNA
Source: RNAcentral